UACGUAGGGGCGAGCGUUGUCCGGAGUACUGGGCGUAAAGCGCACGCAGGCGGUCUGUGAAGUUUGGAGUGACAGUUGGUGGCUCAACCACCAAAGUGCUUUGAAAACUGAUAGACUUGAGGGCUUCAGAGGGACACGGAAUUCCGGGUGGAGUGGUGAAAUGCGUAGAGAUCCGGAAGAACACCAGUGGCGAAGGCGGUCU
Molecule: ribosomal RNA, 202 nt
Filed under: uncultured bacterium
Lineage: Bacteria
Description: partial 16S ribosomal RNA
Rfam family: Bacterial small subunit ribosomal RNA
Source: RNAcentral